RNAcentral lists this ribosomal RNA (433 nucleotides) under uncultured bacterium. RNAcentral's name for it is "partial 16S ribosomal RNA". It matches the Rfam family "Bacterial small subunit ribosomal RNA", at positions 29 to 507 of the family's 1533-position model. The record is from RNAcentral.
AACGAACGCUGGCGGCAGGCCUAAUACAUGCAAGUCGAGCGGACAUUUCGGGGUCAGCGGCCGACGGGUUAGUAACGCGACGGAAUAUUAACUCGUCUAUGGACUACUUUUGGGAAACGGAGGGCAUUACCGAACACGCGCUAUGGGGGAAUGAUUUAUUGGGGCAGUAUUGACACGAGUUGGAUUAGGUAGUUGGUGAGGUAAUGGACUACCAAGCCGACGAUACAUAGCUGGUUUGGGAGGAUGAUCAGCCACACUUGGAGUGGGACACGGCCCAGACUCCUCCGGAAGGCAGCAAUGGGGAAUGUUAGACCAUGGGGGCAACCAUGAUCUAGCCAUGCCGCGUGAAUGAUGAUGGCCUUAGGGUUGUAAAGCUCUUUCAGCUGGGAAGAUAAUGACGGUACCAACAGAAGAAGCCCCGGCUAACUCCGUG